Molecule: long non-coding RNA, 388 nt
Organism: Lutra lutra (Eurasian river otter)
Lineage: Eukaryota; Metazoa; Chordata; Mammalia; Carnivora; Mustelidae
Exons: 3
Source: RefSeq, a predicted model, not a curated record
CAAGAAGAAGAAUAGAAAACAUACAUUGGGAAGAGAGUCCAACAUGAAUUCUCAGCACUGGCCUCCUGCAAGAAGGAAGAGGCAAGUUUCCUGGAAGAGGGAACAGUCAAAGUGGAUGACUCAAGGACUAUUUCGUAUCUCCAUGAAGGCACGUUGGGAUUACACAACACAGCCAUGCAGUUAGAGGACAGAGCCCACCUUCCCGUUACCUGUUGGGCCUCCUGUGCCGCCAUGAUGCCUCACCCCCGGGAGCUCAGGUACUGCUCAAGCUUUAAAGGAACGAAUUCGCCUCCCUGCACUCUGUGGCUAAACUCUUUGCAGUCCUCAGCGGAAGUAUGCUUGAAUCUGGUAAAGGGAAAGGAAGUGUGACAAGCUAAAGUUUCGCUCU